UCUCCCCAAAUUUCUUCAUAUCUACAAAAUUCUCUCUCAAUUCUUCUGGGUUUCGAAGAUGAUUGAGGUGGUUCUCAACGAUCGUCUAGGGAAGAAGGUCCGGGUGAAGUGCAACGAGGACGACACGAUCGGCGACUUGAAGAAGCUCGUUGCCGCUCAGACCGGAACCAGGGCCGAGAAGAUCAGGAUCCAGAAGUGGUACAAUAUCUACAAGGAUCACAUCACCCUCAAGGAUUACGAGAUCCAUGAUGGCAUGGGUCUCGAGCUCUAUUACAACUGAUUCCACGUCGUUUUUUUGUUGGAUUUUAGGAUUCAUUGACGUGAUUAAGAGGAUGCGUAUGUUCUUAGAGGUCGUAAGGAAUUCAGGUCUACCUCUAAAACGAGCGAUCGGAUAUGAGUUCGAUGGGAUGUGGUGUAGGGUUGACAUCGCAGUAAUAUGACGGAGGUCUUAAAACGCCAUGAGAAGCCCUUGUUUCCUAAGGAUCCUGCUCUCAUUCUUUUAUUUCUGGUCCAUUGGAAUAUAGAAUCAGUUACUAGUUUGAAAAUCAUAGUAUUUCCUCUGAUAUAUGGAUGUUUUCUAUCUCCGAGGUUUGGAAUCCUUUGGAAGACGAGUAUUGGGGGGCACUCAGUGCGAGUUUUAUAUUACUGAACAGGCCUCGACAUGUAAAUCUUUGUUCUGCUUAGCGAACGCUACACUCAAUGUUUUGAUGUCUAUAACCUGUUAUGGAAUUAGCUACCCUGUGGAUGACGACGUCUCCUAAAGUAUCGGUUGUUUCUUUCUAAAGGGAGUUGUUUAUUUUCAGAAACCUACUUUAAUCUUAACCGAUAUUUGAUUUGCUGUUCUUGAUUCAUUGUUAAUUGACUUCCUUAUUGUAGGAUGCUUCUUCCUUUUUCCCAUCUUCUCCAACUCUUUAAGUGAGUCAGGAGCUUUUAUUUUAAAGUUGAUGCUUAGUUGUGUAGACAUGCUGCCUUGCCCUAUUGUUCCUUUGCUUAGUGGGUGCCAGGAUUAUGCAUAAUUUUCCAUUCCAAGCACAGAUGGUACAGUGUUCCCUUCGUCAAAAUUUCAGACGAGGAAGGGGAUGAGAAGUCAUCCACUACUGUAGACAUCUUUCAUUUGUGGGUCAUCUGAUGCGAGUUGAAGAACAAUCUUUUAGUCUCGUGGUUUAUCAGUAUAGUUGAUGGUGCAUUGCAUGUUAUUGAACUGAUGGAAUUUGAGGAGUGAUGUAGAGCUUUUUGCCUGUCAAAUCUUAUCCCAAGCUUGUUGAACUCACCAGCAUGGGUUUGUUGAUUUCAAAAGUGAAGAAUUCAUGGGGUUUUAGAUGUCUUGUGGCAUUGCACUUAGAGCAUGCCAUUGCUUGCACAAUAAGAUGGAUUCAGUAUCUAUCUGCCUCAGCUACUGAUCAAUCCCAAAUUUGUUUCUGGAACAACCAUUUUCAAGACUGUUCAGUUUCUAGUUGAUCAAUUGCAGUCUUAGAAAGUGAGCGUUUGGGGAGGAUAUUAGAUGUUUCAUUAAAUUAAGUGUGCUGUGUGUGUAAAUUAAAAUCACCUAUUGCUGUUAUAGAUAGAUUGGUAGCUAAAAGUUUUAAGUAUUUGAAUCCUUAUCUACAUAGGAACUCCGUUCACUCCAUUCAAUCAAGAAGCAAUUGAGUUGAAUA
RNA transcript from Cucurbita moschata (crookneck pumpkin), 1655 nucleotides. It is a transcript of the gene named ubiquitin-like protein 5, with no coding region annotated. The record is from RefSeq and is a predicted model, not a curated record. NCBI's taxonomy places the organism in Eukaryota, Viridiplantae, Streptophyta, Magnoliopsida, Cucurbitales, Cucurbitaceae. The transcript is spliced from 3 exons.